RNAcentral lists this ribosomal RNA (289 nucleotides) under uncultured bacterium. RNAcentral describes it as "partial 16S ribosomal RNA". It matches the Rfam family "Bacterial small subunit ribosomal RNA", at positions 773 to 1060 of the family's 1533-position model. The record is from RNAcentral.
GUGGAUUAGAUACCCUGGUAGUCCACGCCCUAAACGAUGCGAACUGGACGUUGGGAGCAAUUAGGCUCUCAGUGUCGAAGCUAACGCGUUAAGUUCGCCGCCUGGGGAGUACGGUCGCAAGACUGAAACUCAAAGGAAUUGACGGGGGCCCGCACAAGCGGUGGAGUAUGUGGUUUAAUUCGAUGCAACGCGCAGAACCUUACCUGGCCUUGACAUCCACGGAAUCCUUGAGAGAUCGAGGAGUGCCUUCGGGAACCGUGAGACAGGUGCUGCAUGGCUGUCGUCAGCU